Choloepus didactylus (southern two-toed sloth) is the source of this 241-nucleotide long non-coding RNA. RefSeq lists it as uncharacterized. The record is from RefSeq and is a predicted model, not a curated record. Lineage: Eukaryota; Metazoa; Chordata; Mammalia; Pilosa; Megalonychidae. The transcript has 3 exons.
GUACCACCGUGAUGGUGCCUUGAUUUGGACAUUUUCUUGGCCUCGAAACUGAACAGGAGACCUAUACCUUCAACCUCUCCUUGGCUGUCUCCUUCCAUCACCUUCUGAGCUCCUUGCAGUACGGAUUCUGCCACCACCACUCAACAGGAACCACUCUCGAUAUCUCGUGUCCUUUCUUUACGCUAUUUAAAUACUACCUUGAUUGCUUCCAAGUCUACUCAGAAGGAUUGGAAAUAAGCCC